GGACAGAAAGACCCUAUGAAGCUUUACUGUAACUUGAGAUUGAAAUUGGACUUUAUUCGCGCAGUAUAGGUGGGAGGCAUUGAAAAUAUUCUUGCGGGAAUAUUGGAGCCAUCAGUGAGAUACCACUCUUGUAAUGUUAGAUUUCUAACUUUGUAUCAUUAUCUGGUCAAAGAACAGUUUCAGGCGGGCAGUUUGACUGGGGCGGUCGCCUCCUAAAUGGUAACGGAGGCGCACAAAGGUUUCCUCUGAACGGGUAGAAAUCGUAUCUAGAGUGUAAAGGCAUAAGGAAGCUUGACUGUGAGACCUACAAGUCGAGCAGGGACGAAAGUCGGUCUUAGUGAUCUGACGGUGCUGAGUGGAAAGGCCGUCACUCAACGGAUAAAAGUUACUCUAGGGAUAACAGGCUGA
RNAcentral lists this ribosomal RNA (408 nucleotides) under uncultured organism. RNAcentral's name for it is "bacterial LSU rRNA". It matches the Rfam family "Bacterial large subunit ribosomal RNA", at positions 2078 to 2485 of the family's 2925-position model. The record is from RNAcentral.